Cercocebus atys (sooty mangabey) is the source of this 496-nucleotide long non-coding RNA. RefSeq lists it as uncharacterized. The record is from RefSeq and is a predicted model, not a curated record. The transcript is spliced from 3 exons. NCBI's taxonomy places the organism in Eukaryota, Metazoa, Chordata, Mammalia, Primates, Cercopithecidae.
AGGCAAAGAAGAAGCAGGGUGGUUAAAUUAGCGUGCUGGAAUCUUUUCAGUUUGUCGCAGAGUAGAAAAAUAAAAAAAGGAAAAAAAAGGCUCAGUAAUUUAAAUUUGCUCUCAGUUCAGGCUGCAAUGCUGGGUCCCGCCCCUUCUUCCGGCUGGGUUCCACUACCUGUAAGGCUGGAACUGACAGCCACUGUGCAAACAAAAAAAGGCAACAAGCAUGCUGGGACCAUUCUGUCUGCUGUUUGGGUCUCACUUGCCCUGACAACUAAAAAUCAUCAGUGGAAAGAUUUCUGAAAAUAUGAUUGGAUCCAGAAAUGGAUGAGAGAUUGCCUUGAAGAUUAAGUGAUUUAAUCACAGAAAGAAGAGCCAUGUUAAAAAAAAAAAAAAGUACGUUUCAAAUUGAUGAAUGAAAACAGCCUUUGAAUGAUGGAUUAGAAAAUGUAUUUGUUCCAUAAAAAAAUACCUCACGGUAGAAAAUAAAUGUUCUCAAUAUCAA